This is a long non-coding RNA of Panicum virgatum (switchgrass), 396 nucleotides long. RefSeq lists it as uncharacterized. NCBI's taxonomy places the organism in Eukaryota, Viridiplantae, Streptophyta, Magnoliopsida, Poales, Poaceae. The record is from RefSeq and is a predicted model, not a curated record. The transcript is spliced from 2 exons.
AGACGGCGCGUGAGGUGACGGCGUGCAGAGAGGGGUGGGCGACAGCGCGCGAGGCGACGGCGCAGCGGCACAGCGUCGUAGUGGCGGCGAGCUUCUCACCAGUACAAUAGUAUCACUUGGACAAUAUGAGGAGGAGAGUAACAACAUUUAUCACAGGCCAGUAGGUGUAGAAGGCGUGGAAAGGGACAGUUUGACACACUUUGCCAUAAUUUAUCGCACAACAUGUCCAACAGUUACGGAAUGCAAUAGAUGUUCUGUGCUAGAGCGUUCUGUGCUAGAGUUAGUACUGCACUCGAGAGAAUUAUUCCAGCGGCUAAUGAAUAAUUACAUUUUCUAGUACUACAUGUGUGCUGCAAUUGUGUGAUGUAAAAAUGGCCUGUUUUGAUUCCUGUGUAA